Molecule: ribosomal RNA, 424 nt
Filed under: uncultured bacterium
Lineage: Bacteria
Description: bacterial SSU rRNA
Rfam family: Bacterial small subunit ribosomal RNA
Source: RNAcentral
CAUGCAAGUCGAGCGGGGAAGGGUAGCUUGCUUCCUGACCUAGCGGCGGACGGGUGAGUAAUGCUUAGGAAUUUGCCUAUUAGUGGGGGACAACAUUUCGAAAGGAAUGCUAAUUCCGCAUACGCCCUUCGGGGGAAAGCAGGGGAUUUUUGGACCUUGCGCUAAUAGAUGAGCCUAAGUCAGAUUAGCUAGUUGGUGGGGUAAAGGCCUACCAAGGCGACGAUUUGUAGCGGGUUUGAGAGGAUGAUUCGCCCCCCUGGGACUGAGACACGGCCCAGACUCCUUCGGGAGGCAGCAGUGGGGAAUAUUGGACAAUGGGCGAAAGCCUGAUCCAACCAUGCCGCGUGUGUUAAGAGGGCCUUUUGGUUGUAAAGCCCUUUAAGCGAGGAGGAGGCUACUUAGAUUAAUUCUUUAGGAUAGUGGA